AACGAACGCUGGCGGCAUGCCUAACACAUGCAAGUCGAACGAGACCUUCGGGUCUAGUGGCGCACGGGUGCGUAACGCGUGGGAACCUGCCCUUAGGUUCGGAAUAACUCCCCGAAAGGGGUGCUAAUACCGGAUAAUUUCUUCGGACCAAAGAUUCAUCGCCUUUGGAUGGGCCCGCGUUGGAUUGGCUAGUUGGUAGGGUAAAAGCCUACCAAGGCGACGAUCCAUAGCUGGUCUGAGAGGAUGAUCAGCCACACUGGGACUGAGACACGGCCCAGACUCCUACGGGAGGCAGCAGUGGGGAAUAUUGGACAAUGGGCGAAAGGCUGAUCCAGCAAUGCCGCGUGAGUGAUGAAGGCCUUAGGGUUGUAAAGCUCUUUUACCCGGGAUGAUAAUGACAGUACCGGGAGAAUAAGCUCCGGCUAACUCCGUG
RNAcentral lists this ribosomal RNA (433 nucleotides) under uncultured bacterium. RNAcentral describes it as "partial 16S ribosomal RNA". It matches the Rfam family "Bacterial small subunit ribosomal RNA", at positions 29 to 507 of the family's 1533-position model. The record is from RNAcentral.